Molecule: unclassified non-coding RNA, 223 nt
Filed under: plant metagenome
Description: partial contains small subunit ribosomal RNA, internal transcribed spacer 1, and 5.8S ribosomal RNA
Source: RNAcentral
UUUCCGUGGGUGAACCUGCGGAAGGAUCAUUAAAGAAUCGCCCCGUUUUUUAUAAAUGGGUUCUAUUCCCAAACCGUGUAUACAUACCUUUGUUGCUUUGGCAGGCCGCCUCCGGGCGUCGGCUCCGGCUGAUAGUGCCUGCCAGAGGACCCAAACUCUGUGUUUAGUGAUGUCUGAGUACUAUAUAAUAGUUAAAACUUUCAACAACGGAUCUCUUGGUUCU